GAUGAACGCUGGCGGCGUGCCUAAUACAUGCAAGUCGAGCGAACGGACGAGAAGCUUGCUUCUCUGAUGUUAGCGGCGGACGGGUGAGUAACACGUGGAUAACCUACCUAUAAGACUGGGAUAACUGCGGGAAACCGUAGCUAAUACCGGAUAAUAUUUUGAACCGCAUGGUUCAAAAGUGAAAGACGGUCUUGCUGUCACUUAUAGAUGGAUCCGCGCUGCAUUAGCUAGUUGGUAAGGUAACGGCUUACCAAGGCAACGAUGCAUAGCCGACCUGAGAGGGUGAUCGGCCACACUGGAACUGAGACACGGUCCAGACUCCUACGGGAGGCAGCAGUAGGGAAUCUUCCGCAAUGGGCGAAAGCCUGACGGAGCAACGCCGCGUGAGUGAUGAAGGUCUUCGGAUCGUAAAACUCUGUUAUUAGGGAAGAACAUAUGUGUAAGUAACUGUGCACAUCUUGACGGUACCUAAUCAGAAAGCCACGGCUAACUACGUG
Molecule: ribosomal RNA, 497 nt
Filed under: uncultured bacterium
Lineage: Bacteria
Description: partial 16S ribosomal RNA
Rfam family: Bacterial small subunit ribosomal RNA
Source: RNAcentral